Molecule: ribosomal RNA, 591 nt
Filed under: Microsphaeropsis arundinis
Lineage: Eukaryota; Fungi; Ascomycota; Dothideomycetes; Pleosporales; Didymellaceae
Description: partial large subunit ribosomal RNA
Rfam family: Eukaryotic large subunit ribosomal RNA
Source: RNAcentral
ACGGAGGAAAAGGAAACCAACAGGGAUUGCCCUAGUAACGGCGAGUGAAGCGGCAACAGCUCAAAUUUGAAAUCUGGCUCUCUUUGGGGGUCCGAGUUGUAAUUUGCAGAGGAUGCUUUGGCAUUGGCGGCGGUCUAAGUUCCUUGGAACAGGACAUCGCAGAGGGUGAGAAUCCCGUACGUGGGCGCCUGCCUUUGCCGUGUAAAGCUCCUUCGACGAGUCGAGUUGUUUGGGAAUGCAGCUCUAAAUGGGAGGUAAAUUUCUUCUAAAGCUAAAUACCGGCCAGAGACCGAUAGCGCACAAGUAGAGUGAUCGAAAGAUGAAAAGUACUUUGGAAAGAGAGUCAAAAAGCACGUGAAAUUGUUGAAAGGGAAGCGCUUGCAGCCAGACUUGCCCGCAGUUGCUCACCUAGGCUUUGGCCUGGGGCACUCUUCUGCGGGCAGGCCAGCAUCAGUUUGGGCGGUCGGACAAAGGCCUCUGUCAAGUAUCUCCCUUCGGGGUGACCUUAUAGGGGAGGCGUAAUGCGACCAGCCCGGACUGAGGUCCGCGCAUCUGCUAGGAUGCUGGCGUAAUGGCUGUAAGCGGCCCGCU